RNAcentral lists this ribosomal RNA (575 nucleotides) under uncultured bacterium. RNAcentral describes it as "bacterial SSU rRNA". It matches the Rfam family "Bacterial small subunit ribosomal RNA", at positions 1 to 547 of the family's 1533-position model. The record is from RNAcentral.
CGCCCUUAGAGUUUGAUCCUGGCUCAGAGUGAACGCUGGCGGCGUGCUUAACACAUGCAAGUUGAACGGUAACAGGAAGUAGCUUCCUACUGUGGGGUGCUGACGAGUAGCGAACGGGCGAGUAAUGCACGUGAGCUAACCUGCCCCAUUGACUUUGGGAAUAACUUCACUGGAAACUGGGGACUAAUACCGGAUAGGAGCUCCUGCUGCAUCGAGGGGGUUGGAAAUGCUUUCGGCGCUAUGGGGAUGGGACUAUGUCGGCUUAUCAGCUUGUUGGUGAGGUAACGGCUCACCAAGGCUAUGACGGGUAUCCGGUCUGAGAGGAUGAUCAGACACAUUGGAACUGAGACACGGUCCAGACUCCUACGGGAGGCAGCAGUGGGGAAUAUUGCACAAUGGGCGGAAGCCUGAUGCAGCAACGCCCGCGUGCCGAGGAUGACGGCCUUCGGAUUGUAAACCCGCUUUCGCCUUGUGACGAAACCGAUGAGUGACCGGUAACCUCUGGGUAAAAGAAGCACCCGGCUAACUACGUGCCAACAGGCCGCGGUGAUACCUAAGGUGCCAGCCGUUGUCCC